RNAcentral lists this ribosomal RNA (896 nucleotides) under Chaetosphaeronema hispidulum. Its description in RNAcentral is "SSU rRNA". The stretch from base 142 to 896 matches the Rfam family "Eukaryotic small subunit ribosomal RNA", at positions 1 to 1114 of the family's 1831-position model. Lineage: Eukaryota; Fungi; Ascomycota; Dothideomycetes; Pleosporales; Phaeosphaeriaceae. The record is from RNAcentral.
GGCAAGUCUGGUGGACAUCAGCUCCAUUCUGCUGACGCCAGAGAUAGUCGGGCAUCGUCAAGAUGUAUGCCGGCUAGUCGAUGUACCCGCUUAAUUGAUGGGAGGGUACCGGCAAGACAACAUGGAUCGGGAAAGCUAAGGUAUCUGCAAGAUGCUAUGCUAAUCCCGAGCAGAGCUGCCACGGAGCGAUCUGUGGACAGCCUGUGUAGAGCACGCUAAGGUGUCGGCCAACUCACGUAGUUGGCUUAAGGGACGUGCCAUUCCCACUUGAAAGAGUGGCUGUUAGCAAUAGCGCCCAUCACGCGAAGGCUAACAGAUCAAACAAAGCGCAUGCGAUGUUUGAAGUUUCAAUAGGCCAGCAGCCGCGGUAAUUCCAGCUCCAAUAGCGUAUAUUAAAGUUGUUGCAGUUAAAAAGCUCGUAGUUGAACCUUGGGCCUGGCUGGCAGGUCCGCCUCACCGCGUGUACUUGUCCGGCCGGGCCUUCCUUCUGGAGAACCUCAUGCCCUUCACUGGGCGUGUUGGGGACCAGAACUUUUACUUUGAAAAAAUUAGAGUGUUCAAAGCAGGCCUUUGCUCGAAUACGUUAGCAUGGAAUAAUAAAAUAGGACGUGCGGUCCUAUUUUGUUGGUUUCUAGGACCGCCGUAAUGAUUAAUAGGGACAGUCGGGGGCAUCAGUAUUCAAUUGUCAGAGGUGAAAUUCUUGGAUUUAUUGAAGACUAACUACUGCGAAAGCAUUUGCCAAGGAUGUUUUCAUUAAUCAGUGAACGAAAGUUAGGGGAUCGAAGACGAUCAGAUACCGUCGUAGUCUUAACCGUAAACUAUGCCGACUAGGGAUCGGGCGAUGUUCUUUUUCUGACUCGCUCGGCACCUUACGAGAAAUCAAAGUUUUUGGGUUC